UCUUCAUUUCGCACACUCUCUCAACCGGUUGAGCGACGAGAGAGUGUGUAAAAUGAAGAGA
This is a non-coding RNA of Pristionchus pacificus, 61 nucleotides long. Lineage: Eukaryota; Metazoa; Nematoda; Chromadorea; Rhabditida; Neodiplogasteridae. The record is from Rfam.